Oncorhynchus mykiss (rainbow trout) is the source of this 2167-nucleotide non-coding RNA. The record is from RefSeq and is a predicted model, not a curated record. NCBI's taxonomy places the organism in Eukaryota, Metazoa, Chordata, Actinopteri, Salmoniformes, Salmonidae.
CACGAUACAUUGUCUCUCACCCUUUGUGCUCCCUUUUGUGCAACAUUUAGCUGAACUCAGAGGACUCGGACCCGUAAAUUCACCGUGAAGGUCUGAAGAAACAUGGAAAUAUAUUUUGCAGGCAUCGGCAGGCCACGGCACUCGCUCUGGCGCACUGCGGGGCAGAGGUCAUGGCUGUCACAAGCACGCAGGCUGACCUGGACAGCAUUCUGCUGCAGUGUCCAUCAAUCAAGCCAGUGUGUGUGGACCUAGGGAACUGGGGGGCCACAGAGGAGGCGCUAUGGGAGGCUGUUGGUAAAGCUGAUCUCCUGGUGAAUAAAGCAGCCUGCGUCAUGCUGGAGCCCUUCCUAGAGGUCGCCCCCAACCAGUUUGACACGUAAAGAAGCUCUCUUUGUUGUCCUUUGAUUCAUGUAUUGAUUCAUAUUCAUUAAAGUGAAACACAAGUCACUCAAGGCAAGGUAUUAGACCUGUGUUUUAGACCUAGAGUACAUGUAUUAGACCUGUGUUUUAGACCUAGAGUACAUGUAUUAGACCUGUGUUUUAGACCUAGAGUACAUGUAUUAGACCUGUGUUUUAGACCUAGAGUACAUGUAUUAGAUCUACAGUACAUGUAUUAGACCUGUGUUUUAGACCUAGAGUACACGUAUUAGACCUGUGUUUUAGACCCAGAGUACAUGUAUUAGACCUAGAGUACAUGUUUUAGACCUGUGCUUUAGACCUAGAGUACAUGUAUUAGACCUGUGCUUUAGCCCCAGAGUACAUGUAUUAGACCUGUGUUUUAGACCUAGAGUACAUGUAUUAGACCUGUGUUUUAGACAUAGAGUACAUGUUUUAGACCUGUGUUUUAGACCCAGAGUACAUGUAUUAGACCUAGAGUACAUGUAUUAGACCUGUGUUUUAGACCUAGAGUACAUGUAUUAGACCUGUGUUUUAGACCUAGAGUACAUGUAUUAGAUCUACAGUACAUGUAUUAGACCUGUGUUUUAGACCUAGAGUACACGUAUUAGACCUGUGUUUUAGACCCAGAGUACAUGUAUUAGACCUAGAGUACAUGUAUUAGACCUGUGUUUUAGACAUAGAGUACAUGUAUUAGACCUGUGUUUUAGACCUAGAGUACAUGUUUUAGACCUGUGCUUUAGACCCAGAGUACAUGUAUUAGACCUGUGUUUUAGACCCAGAGUACAUGUAUUAGACCUAGAGUACAUGUAUUAGACCUGUGUUUUAGACCUAGAGUACAUGUACUAGACCUGUGUUUUAGACCUAGAGUACAUGUAUUAGACCUGUGUUUUAGACCUAGAGUACAUGUAUUAGACCUGUGUUUUAGACCUAGAGUACAUGUAUUAGACCUGUGUUUUAGACCUAGAGUACAUGUAUUAGACCUGUGCUUUAGACCUAGAGUACAUGUAUUAGACCUGUGUUUUAGACCUAGAGUACAUGUAUUAGACCUGUGUUUUAGACCUAGAGUACAUGUAUUAGACCUGUGCUUUAGACCUACAUAAAGUACAGUGUAUUUGGAAAGUAUUCAGACUUUUUCCACAUUUCGUUACAUUACAGCCUUAUUCUAAAAUGGAUGAAAUGUUCUCCAAAGCAAUCUACACAAAAUGACAAAACAGAAAGACAUUUUUGCAUAUGUAUAAAAACUUAAAUAACUGUGUGAUUUAACAUUUGAUACUGGUGCUUUUCUAUUUACCAAUUUCUGUGUUUGUGCUUUUCUAAUAACCGUUUUCUGUGUUCAUGCAAGUGACUGACUGAACGAACCCUCACAAUCAGUAUCUGUAAUUUGACAGUACGUCCAGACCCUUGUUUUGAGAACAAAAGAUAUCUCUGUUUCAAGGUCUCAGCUUAGAGAGAUGAAGCCGCGUGAGGUAUUGGUCUGUCACAUGCAUGACCCAGUACUGGUCAGUCACAUGAAGGAAGCAAACGUUAGUGAUGAAUUAAUUAUGAUUGAAUAAGCUAAAUCAUGCAAAUACAACUUGUCUGCAUAUAAGAGAACUAACGGGACUGCCCCGAUAGAGCUCUUGAUCGACAUGUGUACAUGGUGCAUUGAGUUGGUUGGAACCUCUCCAGCACGCUGAUAAUAAACAAUGAUUUAUACAAGAUUGACUUUGAGUGUCCCAUGUGUAAGAAUUUCCAAAACAAUUUGGUGUCAACGAACAGGAUGAUUGAU